Long non-coding RNA from Eptesicus fuscus (big brown bat), 437 nucleotides. RefSeq lists it as uncharacterized. The record is from RefSeq and is a predicted model, not a curated record. NCBI's taxonomy places the organism in Eukaryota, Metazoa, Chordata, Mammalia, Chiroptera, Vespertilionidae. The transcript is spliced from 3 exons.
GCAGGAGCUGCCCCCUAGUAGUCAGUGUGCUCCCCAGGGGGAGCGACUGCUCAGCCAGAAGCCAGGCUCACAGCUGGUGAGCGCAGUGGCGGUGGCAGAGCCUCUCCCACCUCCAUGGCAGUGCUAAGGAACAGCAAGCCAAAUGAAUGGAAGGCUCUGUUUUUUCACACCUCCAACAAAGAUUUGAAAAAUAAGCCUGUCCUAUCCCCCUGAGAACAGAGCAACAAGGCAUUCAGCUAUAACGGUGCCAGGGCUGAGUUAAGACAAGGGCACAUCAGCCAGCGCUUGUUUCCAUGACUGCCCAACUGCCCCACCUACACAGAAAUACCACGGGGACAAAAUGUUAAACUGAGCCGUGUUUGCAGCUGCUCUUUGGAAUCUCAUUAUGUACGAUGUGUGUGCUAAUCAGAAAUUCAAUUAAUAAAGAUUUGACAAGA